Macaca fascicularis (crab-eating macaque) is the source of this 117-nucleotide unclassified non-coding RNA. It matches the Rfam family "Metazoan signal recognition particle RNA". From Rfam's summary of the family: The signal recognition particle (SRP) is a universally conserved ribonucleoprotein. It is involved in the co-translational targeting of proteins to membranes. Lineage: Eukaryota; Metazoa; Chordata; Mammalia; Primates; Cercopithecidae. The record is from Ensembl.
GCUGGGCAUGGCGGCUCAUGCCUGUAAUCCCAGCACCGUUGGAGGCAGAGGCAGGUGGAUCACCUGAGGUCGGGAGUUCAAAACCAGCCUGACCAACAUGGAGAAACCCUGUCUCUA